ACGAGUUCUGGUACCUCCCUUGUGCUACACUCCCAAAAUACCUCUUCCACAAGAAGAGCAGAGAAGGAAGGCUUAUUUCUUUCUUUUUCCUUUUUCUUAUCAAACAGAAAAAUGAGAACGUCUUGAAAUUCUAGCUAAAAGGAUGUCACAGUUCUAUUGAUUUGAGUUCCCAGCCAGAAACCAAGGAAAUAUGUCCAACUGCUUAGCCAAAGUUCUGGACACCAUUAUCAAAAGAAAAGACACGUGUUGGCAGAGGACAUACCACCACCGCUGCCAGCAAGGCAACAAUCCAACCAUUGUGGACCCACACCACGCAGAGGAAGACUAUCCCCACGACACUUCUACCAUGUUGUUCCUUUUGGGUGCAAGCUGCUCUCAUGGGUUUGGCUCCCUGUAGCAGACACUCCAAAUUAUUGUGACUGAAAGAAGAUUGAAAUCCGUCACUUUCUCGUGUUUAAAAAUUUGAGGAAGGAAGCUCAGAGGUGCUAUGGAGGCUCCAUAGUCAUCUGGCAUCUUAGCAAUUUCCAAACUUCCAUUCCCUCCACCUUUCCCACAAUAUAGUUCUCAUUCUCCUCAUUUAUGGUGGAUACUUAGUUUUCUAGCAAUGCUAAAAUGAGUGACCACAAAUGUGAUGGCUUAUUGCAGCAAAGAUUUCACCUCUCCUACUUCUAAAGCCAUUAAUCUAUCACGUUUCCCCAGGCCCAAAACAAGAAGACUGCGCUCCCUCCAGAACCCUUGGGGAGAAUCCAUGUCUUGCCUCUUCCAGCUUCCUGUGCUGUGUGCGCUCCUGGUCAAAAAGCCACAGUCUCUGUGACUGCAUUGCUUUCUCCUCUUCAGCCUGUGUCAAAUCUCUGUUUCCUUCAUAUAAGAAGAUACAUGAUUAUGUUACGGUCUGAUAUGAUUUGAACGUCCUCUCCAAAAUUCAUGGGAAAUGUAAUUGUGGUUGGGACAAUGUUAAGAGGUAAGCCCUUCAAGAGGGGAAAGGACAUAGGCUCGCUCUCCUGCAGGAUGGAGCCUGGCACUUCUGCAGCACAUAUAAAGUGGGACACUUUGGCCCCCCUUUCCUUUCUUGGUCUCACAUUCUUACUUUCUCUUCCUCCCUCCUACAUGGAAUGAGGUAGCAUGAAGGCCCUUGCCAGGUGAUGGCUCCGUUUUCUCAGCUUCCCAGUCUCCAGAACCGCAAGC
This 1185-nucleotide long non-coding RNA is filed under the name Fukomys damarensis (Damara mole-rat). Its description in RNAcentral is "lncRNA (ENSFDAG00000026589.1)". The record is from RNAcentral. Lineage: Eukaryota; Metazoa; Chordata; Mammalia; Rodentia; Bathyergidae.